UACGUAGGGGGCAAGCGUUGUCCGGAAUCAUUGGGCGUAAAGCGCGUGUAGGCGGCCCGGUAAGUCCGCUGUGAAAGUCGGGGGCUCAACCCUCGGAUGCCGGUGGAUACUGUCGGGCUAGAGUGCGGAAGAGGCGAGUGGAAUUCCUGGUGUAGCGGUGAAAUGCGCAGAUAUCAUGAGGAACACCAGAGGCGAAGGCGGCUACCUGGACAGUUACUGACGCUCAGGCACGAAAGCGUGGGGAGCAAAAGGG
RNAcentral lists this ribosomal RNA (253 nucleotides) under uncultured bacterium. RNAcentral's name for it is "partial 16S ribosomal RNA". It matches the Rfam family "Bacterial small subunit ribosomal RNA", at positions 524 to 776 of the family's 1533-position model. The record is from RNAcentral.